RNA transcript from Bacillus rossius redtenbacheri, 7829 nucleotides. RefSeq lists it as uncharacterized. The record is from RefSeq and is a predicted model, not a curated record. Lineage: Eukaryota; Metazoa; Arthropoda; Insecta; Phasmatodea; Bacillidae. The transcript is spliced from 2 exons.
CUGCUUCGGCCAUGUUCGCUCCAGUUCGGCAAGAAAGCGUUACCUUCGUAGCUUCUACCGCGUAUUUUUCCUUGAAAGGUCGUUGGCUGUUGACUGGAAGAAGGAAGAUGAAGAUGGCGCAAUGUCAGGCUGCCUUUCGCUCCGAGAGCCAGCAGUUCGAGCUGGUUUACUGGCUCGUCUGCCCACUUCUUUCUUAACUGUGGCUGCCUGGGCAGCUGUGGCUGGGCUGACGUGAAGUCGCCCGCCCCUGGGGGCGCAUGCGCCCCUGGCUAAUAAUAACCCAGGAGCUCCCAACUUUAAAUGCGGGCCGCAAGGCCCAAGCACCCAACUCCACCAAGGUUGAUUUUUCAGCCCCUCCAACUCUUCUUACCUGGACCCUUCUUCCUCUUGUCCAGUAGUUACCUGCUUGCUUAAUGCAUGUUAAUUGAUCCCCGCAUGAACCGGCCCAGGGUUUUCCCUGUGUCUAUGCAGGUUUUACCUGGGUCACACUUAGCUAGCUUUUAAGCUAGGCGACCAAUGGGGCGUCAGUCAUGGCGCCAAUUGCAGCCAUGGCUGGCCAGUAAACCCCAAUAAGCACAUGAUGCACGCGCCCUUGUCCUGCAUGGUUAAAAACCCGCAUGGUAGAGUGUAUAGGCUUCGGCCUGAGACACACUUAGGUCCUCCCCUAACCUGGACCCUCCCCUACACACUUAGAAUUAACUUAGGCUAGGAAAAAAAAAAAAAAAUUUCCAGCCAAUCCCCUCCCUGAACCUUUGUACCAUGCCACCCCCCUUCCGAAAGGAAACUACUGCGGCAGCCUUCCUGCUGAAAGCGAUCCUACCAGCGCUUCUAAACCUAGCAACGCUUCUAAAACAGCAUGUUUUUGUGUCAACGAGUUCUUUUUUCAUAGCGCACAGCGCACAGUAUUGGGUCCCAAGAAGAUAGUGUAAAAAAUACAUACACCUAACUGCACGAGCCAAAGUAAAAUACUAUUCUGAAUAAAAUAUUUAUUUAAAAAAUACAAUGUCUGGAAACUGCCUGGGCAAGCACUGCUUGCCUUGCUUGCCCUGACGAGACGCCACUGAUCUGUAGCAUUGUAUUAGUUUCAAAUUAGGCCUAUUUAAUUUAAUGAUUAGGUUUUUAUAAAAUUAUUCAAAACCAAAUUAAGUCCGGAGGAUUUACCAAAUAUAUUAAUUGUACUAAUUUCCUGCAAUGAAUGUGGCUGCUACUGAUCAAAUGAAAUAUUAUUGGCCAAGGAUAAUUUUAGUCCGCAAAAAGAUAAAAGUUCGUUAUGGAUUGUGCUUUGGGCUAUGGAAUUGAGUAUUGUUAGUCUAAAAGUUAAUUUUUCUUUUUGCAGAUGUCACUCUCAAAGUCCAGACUUACUGAGUUUAAUGAUGGCUGGCUUUGUGAUCAACGGUUUCAGCCAUGGCUUCAAAAGGUUGAGAAAGACAAGCAUGUCUUCUUCUGCUCUUUGUGUCGGAGCACUCUCAGUUUAAGCAACAUGGGAAAAAGAGCAGUUACAAGUCAUCUCAAUGGUCAGAAACAUAAGUCUCGUUCUCGGGUAAAUAGUGAAUGUGAUCUGAGAAUUUUUCUAAAAAAAAGUAACACUGAUGCAAGUACUAGUUCUCAGGAGUCUUCAAGAUUUAGUCAAUCUGAGGAAAGUUUGCAAGAGAAUAAAUGUGCAAAAGAUGUUAAUGAAAGUGAAAAUUUGUCAUUCUUAAAUACAAAAGAAAUUGUCUCCCAACAGUCUGUUACGUCUCGUCCAUUGCAGUCAUUCUUAUUGAAAAAUGAAAAUACCAAAGCCGAUAUAUUAUGGUGCCUUCUAGUUGUAAUGAAUCAUUGGUCAGUGAAUUCUGCAGGGAAAGCUGUUCAAGUUUUCAAAGCUAUGUUUAGUGAUAGUUCAAUAGCCAUGAACAUGCGUCUUCAACGCACAAAGAUUUCAUACACCAUAGUUUAUGGUUUAGCUCCAUAUUUUCACAAGGAGUUAUUGCAAGAAAUUUCUCAGUGUGAUUUCUUUGUCAUUUCUUUUGAUGAAUCACUUAAUAAAAUUGCCCAGAAAGAACAGAUGGACAUUGUCAUUCGCUUUUGGAGCAAAUCUAAGGACACUGUAAGUACACAUUAUUUCACUUCAGUUUUUUUGGGUCAUACAACUGCUGCUGACCUUAUACGAUCUUUUAAAGAGGCAGUAUCAGAACUAGACUUACGAAAGCUAAUGCAAUUAUCCAUGGAUGGGCCAAAUGUGAAUAUUAAGCUUUUGGCAGACUUAAAAGCAGACUUGAACAGAGACCCUUCAGAUCAUGUGAUAAUGGAAAUUGGCUCGUGUGGGUUGCAUACUCUUCACAAUGCUUUUAAGGUCGGAAUGAACAGUUGUGAAUGGAAAAUUUUUCAAUUUUUGCAUGCUAUUUACAACUUUUUCAAGGAUCAGCCUGCAAGAAGGAGUGACUACACAAUGUUUUCUGGAUCAACAAAAUUUCCAGUUAAAUUUUGUAAUGUGAGAUGGCUUCAGAACUUUGAGGUUGCACAGAGGGCCCUUGAAAUUAUUCCCAACUUGAAGAAGUAUGUAGAGGGAGUUAAGGAAAAUAAGAAGGAACCAGUUAUGUCUGGUAGCUAUGCAGCAAUGGUAGGAGGUAUAAGUGACAAAUUGAUGCCUGCUAAAUUAGCUUUCUUUUGUUUUCUUGUGAAGGAAAUAGAAGACUUCUUGGAGUGCUUUCAAACUGAUGCCCCUAUGGCACCCUUCUUACACACAGAACUCACUAACAUUCUUAUGUCCUUGAUGAAACAUUUUGUGAAGCCUGAGACAGUAAGUUCCAAGAGUAUAGCAAGCAUUGAUUUGUCAAAAUCUGAAGCUCUGUUACAUGCAAAGAAGGUAGAUGUAGGGUAUGGUACACGUGAUGCUCUAAGACGAAUAGAUUCAGUUAAAGAAAUUUACAUUCUUUCUUUCAAGCAGGACUGCCGCACAAUUCUCCAAACAACGUGCAAGAAAAUUAUAAUCAAGUCUCCUUUAAAAUUCAAGCUUGCGAAGGGUAUUACUUGUUGUGAUCCACAAAUGAUAGUGAAAUCGCCCCAAAUAGCUGAGCAGCGUUUACAGAUGUCAUUAAAAGUGUUUGUAGAAAACAACUGGCUGUCUGGUUUGGAAGCACAGAAAAUCCACUUUAACUUCAAAGAAGUCUUUCAGAGUCCAGAAAUGUUAGCAGAUUUAAAGAAUUUUCGUCGAAAAGAAUCUAGGUUAGAUGAGUUCUGGACAAAAUUUGUAGUGAAGCAUGAUACAUCCAAAGAACUAGUAACAUUUAUCAAAAUGGUUGGUAUUUUCGCAUGGUAAUGCAAGUGUAGAACGUGGGUUUUCAGUUAAUAAAGAUUGUCUUGUUGAAAACAUGCAUGAGAGGUCUCUGAUUGCACAAAGACAAGUUUGGGAUGGAGUGCAAGCAUCUGGUGGAGUUGUACAAGAUUUGAAUAUUACAAAGACUAUGAUUCUGUCUGCCCGCAAUGCUCAUAGUAAAUAUCAGGAUGCACAGACUGAACAGAAGAAAAGUAAUGAAGAUAAAGAAAAAGAAAAGGAUGAGAAGAAAAGGGUUGCAAAUAUUAAAAAUGAUCUUGAAAUGCAAAAAAAGAAGAAACUGGAAGAGUUGACCCUUGUUGAUGAACAAAUUCGUGGCCUUGUGAAGAAAUAUUAAAUUGGGAUUUUAAUCAUUGAGAAGUGUGGAAGUUGUGUAAAUACUUGUGCUUAAGUGAACUAAGUAUUAUGUUAAAUGUCUUAAAAAUGUGCAUCAAAAAAUGUAGAUCUAUGUUACUGUGUGGGAAGCAUUAAGUUUUCAACAAACUGUAAAGCAUAAACUUAUGUUUUACUACUGCAAAAAUUUUUCUGAAUGGAUGAAUUAAUGCUGUUGGUGCUCAGACAGGUAAGGAAUUAAUUAUACAACUAUAUGUUAAAUUUGAAGUAUUCAGCUGUUGAAAUUGCCAGCAGAUGUUGUGUUGCAAUUUUUUUAAUGAAUAUUUUUUUUCAAAAACAGAAAGUGUUUUGUAACUGUCUUCCAUAUAGGAUUAUCAGAAAAUAUGAAUACAGUAUGUUAGCUUAAUGAGUUUUCUUACUUAUCAGUAGGUGUAGGGCAAUAAUUUUGUUUAUAGUUGAAUGUAUGUAUUAACAUAACCUCGCUUCAUCUACUAGUAUUCUCUAUUGCUAUUGCAUAGUAACUAAACAAACUUAAUUUACUUAGUCCAAAAGUUCUAACAAUGAAACUAUUGCGAUUUGAAUAACAAAAAAUAUCAUCCUUUUUGUGAUUUUGUAGUAAAAAAAUUGUCAGGGAAAAACAUCUUUUUUGUCUGGAAAUCAGGGAAAUGUCAGGGAAUUGGUAAAUGAAAAAUUAGUGGCAACCCUGAGUCAGUAGCAUGGGUCCACAAGCACUUACCAGUCAUAUGUCUGGCAAGAAACAUAAAAACAGGGCAAAAGCUUUAACUGCAUCACCAGCUAUUACAUAGUUCUUUCUUCACUUCCUCACCCUCUACCAGUUCACUUUCAAUUGAUUCUUCCACACCUACCGGUUAAACACAAAACCAUGAAACUGUGGAACUGCAAUCAGAAAGUGAAAAGAACACAGACGUAAUUCAAACAACAUAUUCUAAAUCAGCAGGACUUCAGAAAUUUAUUUUGAAUGAAAACGUAACAAAAUCUGAAAUUAUUUGGUGCUUGCAGACUGUUAUGUCACAUUAAGUCAAUGCGAAUGGCAGCCAAAGAUGUGAAUCGUUUUGAACAUGUGUUCCCAGAUAGUGACAUUGCAUGCAAAAUGAAGCUUCAGAGAACUAAAAUAGAUUACACACUACUGUUUGGGCUUGCACCAUUUUUCAGGCGAGAACUAGAAAAAAUUGUAGCAAUGUGUUCUCAGUUUGUUCUUGGAUUUGAUGAGUCUCUUAAUAAGGUGAGCCAGCAUCAACAAAUGGAUAUGAACGUUCGAUACUGGGACACCGAGAAAGGUGAGGUACCUGCCUACGUGGCAAGAUCUUCUGAAACACCUAUACUCGCUUCACCUCCACGCUGUUGUGUCCAGAAUCAUGAUAGUAGAAGGGCUGGAGUUCUACUGCCAGGAAGCCGGCAGACCCUUCGAUGAGAUGCAUGCUGCCCUUGUCUUUGCUUCGCUGCUGGACGCGGCCGCAGUGUGCGGCAAGCGGUGGGGGAAGAUGUCGUACCUGGUUGGUUCCCUCAACAGCGAGUUCCACGCGGACAAGAUGAACAGGGUCGUGGAUGUUUUCUUUAGUGAUGCAGUUUGGCUCGUGGAAUCUAACGACACUGCAGUAACAGUCACGAGUGCCUCGCAGUGUUCUGGUCAACACAGCCGUACGAGAUUGGAAUUCUUGCAGAAAAAUGUUCAUAGCCCUUUGAUUCUGAAGCAGAUUCUUAGUUUAGUAGAUAUUCAUACAUAGACUUUAAAUACUUUACAUGAAGUUGCAAUGUACAUUUAUUUUUGCCAUAUUUUUGAAUCUUGAUGUUAGCAUGUAGUUGUAUGCUUUACGAUUUAUGUUAUCAAUAUUAUUCAAAAUUAUUUAAAGAAUGAGCUGUUAUAAUUUUUUUCAAAGUCAGUUUGAAAAGGUUAUAUGAUUGACAAACAACUUGGGUGUGGUAAUCUGUAACAGUCGGUUUCACCUUACUUCACAGACAUUGCAACCAACGUAACUCGACUACUUCCAUUUGAGAAGUACUGUGUCAGUGUUGAGUUGUUACUGUUUAUAUUUUGUUAGGUUGGCUGAAAAUAAUUUAAAAUUAGUUUUAAAAAACUAAACUUAUAACCUUUACAGUUUACUAAAAUCAGAGUUGCUAUACUGGGAAUUAAACCCAAGUUCUCAGGAAUGCAAGAUCAUAGAUACAGUAAAACAUGCUUAAGACAUUCCCGCAUAAUACGUUUUCCUGAUUAUUAAUUUCACUUCCAUGUAUCCCUAUGUUAACUUUUCCCAUUCAUAACGUUUGCAUUAAUAAAUGCUUCCUGCAUUUUCGGCGUUUGUGGUAAAAAAAAGUUUAUUUUAAACUUUUAUUUAUUUUUAAUUUUAAAAAUUAACUUAUUUCUGAACAAUAACAAAAUAAUUUGAACUUGCACAAGACCGUUGAAACCUUUGUCAGAUGCCGCAUGCUGUUAUAAGUGUAUUUUUCGACCAAUCAUCUGCUUGCAUUGAGACGCUGUUCCAUCUGCACGCCAUUUCCCCUAUUCGAGGCAGAACAUCAGAUGAAUGAGAAACGUGCACUACCGUCAAAACAUGUGCUACACACCGCACGCUGUUACAAGUUUUAUUUUCAACCAAUCAUCUGCUUGCAUUCGUAUAGACUGAGAGGCUAUUCCAUCAACACACCUUUUUUCCUAUUUGAGUUAUAACACGUAACGAAUACGAAGUAAACCAUAAUUACUACUAGCCAUUACUUAUUUUUUAGUUAGGCGAUCUACUACCAGCCAUUACUUAUUUUUUAGUUAGGCUAUCUUUUUAGGUAUGAUUUUAAGGUUAUCAAGCAUAAUAAAUAUUUAGUGUUAUGGCAAACAGUGCGUAAUGGCAUCUUCCAGUAAUGGAGAACCCAUUAAACGCAAGGCGUUAUUGUUUGAAGAAAAACUGAAAAUAAUAUAAUGCAAAUCCUUUGAUACCAAUAGUGAGUAUGGCAAAAAAAUUGGGUUGCAGCCAUCUACUUUGAACGGAAUCAUGAUGAAGCUAGGGGUGGGCGGGAUCCCGAAACUUGGGAAGAAGUUCGGGAAAAAAACACUUUCUCGAACUUCGGGAAAACAACUCUUUAGUACCAUCUGGAAAAUGAUAUAGGUAACAAUUAACAACUGAAACUUACAUUUCACAGUGUUUAUCUUUCUCUUUGAGGUUAAUUCAAAUAAAAUGACGACAGUCGUCGUGCCCUCCUAGAUACAGAGGCCGUACCUUUCCGCCGAUGUAGGCCUAAGGGAGGUAUGUUUUCCCUAGUGCACCGGCUGUGAAGUGCUACGAGCAGGGACGCACCCGCGUGCGCCCUGGUACGUCAGCGGACGUCAGGGUGUUGUAUAUAGUUAUGUUUUGUAUGCACAUUUUUAAAUAACCACGAGCCUCCACAAUUAUAUAUACAUGUGACGUAACAACUCUGACGUCUGGAAUAGUGAAUGUAAAUGUUGUGUAAAUACUUUGUUUGUCUUUAAUCCGUAACUUAUUAAUUCAUUUGUGUUUGUGUUUCAUUCAUUAAUUGCUUUUCAUGUCGUCUUAAUAAUUCUUUAACUCAUUCAAGUGCUAUGUUAGUCAUGUAAUCGCAGCCUGGCACACCGCGAGGCGGGCCUCUCUCACGCAGGCCGAUUUCCCCUCCCCUCCUCCGCGGCCGUGGGCCUCGGCUCGCAGGCGGGCGGAGGAGGGCAGUGGCGAACCAGACGCGGGGACGAGCAGACGUGCGCUCGCUCCACUCCGCUCGGGAGACGCGUUUCUUAGCUCCGAGUUCGCAGUCAGUGAAAGCGUCACGGGACUGCCUCUGUAGUUGAGCUGCUCUAUAUCAGCAUUCGUUGUACCGCUGAACUUUUCUCAGUCAUUACGUAUCGUUUCGGGACUUUAGUUGCAUACGUCAUAGGCCGUGUAUGUGCCUCUCCGAACCGCCGAACUCUCUCGGUCAUCACGUGUAUUUACUGGACCUUUGCCGCUUACGUGACGGGUCGCGUACAUGCUGCAUAGCACUGCUAAACUUUCGUAACCGGUACGAUUCGCUACGGAGUUACCUUCUCCGUCAUUUCGGGUCGCAUCUUGUGGCCAAGACUUAUUUCCGGGAGUCCGGGUAGUGGCGGGGAGGACGCUCGUUCUGCGAUGUGCCGGCCAGGCUGCGGCAGGAUUCUUCACGGAUUAAAAGGGCUCGUGAAAACGGA